Molecule: long non-coding RNA, 301 nt
Organism: Eptesicus fuscus (big brown bat)
Lineage: Eukaryota; Metazoa; Chordata; Mammalia; Chiroptera; Vespertilionidae
Exons: 3
Source: RefSeq, a predicted model, not a curated record
CCGGAGUUAUACUUUCGAACAAUGUAUUAGUCCAGUACUUUUAGAGUCCUGCAUUUUUAUUGCUUUAAAAUGUAUUUUGCUUUUUUUUUUUUAAAUAGUUGUUGAUACCUCUGAAGAAGACUCUUCAAGCAGACUUAGCAGCAAAUCUGGCAUUGAUGAUUCAAGGCCUGCAUCACACAAUGAAGACGUGAAGCAUAAAGUUAUUUCAGAAACAUGUACCCCGACAGCAAAGACAUCUAAAAAUCAAAGCAAGCAUCUGGAAAAAAUGUCUCAAGAAUCACAAAUAAAUAGGGCAUGUGAC